This is a long non-coding RNA of Hippocampus zosterae (dwarf seahorse), 992 nucleotides long. RefSeq lists it as uncharacterized. The record is from RefSeq and is a predicted model, not a curated record. The transcript has 4 exons. NCBI's taxonomy places the organism in Eukaryota, Metazoa, Chordata, Actinopteri, Syngnathiformes, Syngnathidae.
GUCCCUGCACUGUGAAUAUUUUCCUCCAGGAGGCGCGCCUCUCGAUGACGUGCCGAUGCUGUUUCAGACCGCAAACAUUGGAGGGGGGAGUUUCUAACUUAUGUUCCACAGACAAAAACAUUUCAAAGGCCACUAAAAGAUGCUGCCGACAGGACUUGACGUUUGUUUCUGGAGGGCUCUUUGAGAUGAAGAUGAAAUGUCCUGACGCAAGUGAUAAUGUCCUUGUCCGAGGAUCCAGGGCUGUGACUGAACGAGCCGCCGCCAUCCUUGGUAAUAACCUUCUCGUUCUCACGAAAUCUAAAACUGCGUUGGAGCUACCAAAAGAAAAUAUUCACAGUGUUGUUGAUGUUUUCUACCGACUGUAAUUUCUGGACUAUAAACGUUACUUUUGUCACACGCUUUCAACCCAGCGGCUUAUUUAAUGAUGUGGCCUGUUAAGAAUUUUCCAACUGCCGCCAGGGAGCGCUCGAGAAGAAAAGGUUAUUAUAAUAUAAUUACGCUAUCAUGUGUCACAGUGAAAUCAACUGGCCAUGAGAGGGCGCAUUUCACCUGUGUUUUGAGCUGGACUGCAAUCUGAAAGAUGUGUGUCUGGGUCUAUGACAGAUUUGACCGAACAGUAAUUUUUAUGAAGACUUUAUUCACGACUGAACAUAAAACAUGUACAGCAUUAAUAAAAUAAAAUACUGAGAUAUGUCAAAUGGAAUUAACAAUAGAAAAGUAUAAAAAAAAUAGACAACAGCAGAAGCUUGUGAGCACUUUCCAGCAUGUUUUAUGUGCCCGAAACAUGCGGGAAAACAACUAAUCUCCCCUGCCUCACGGCUUUUCACACGGCCCACUGUGCGACACCGUUCAAAUGAGGCAUCGUGGAAGGAGAUCCAGUCAGUUAAUUUAUUUUUACUGAACCGCCCUGAUGAAGCCAAUGCAAUUUAAUUGACUCUUGAAAGCUGACCAGGUCACAGACAUGCCUCUUUCAUUUUAAGUACAGCACAGCA